Molecule: ribosomal RNA, 503 nt
Filed under: uncultured bacterium
Lineage: Bacteria
Description: partial 16S ribosomal RNA
Rfam family: Bacterial small subunit ribosomal RNA
Source: RNAcentral
AUUGAACGCUGGCGGCAGGCUUAACACAUGCAAGUCGAGCGGGGUGAUGGUGCUUGCACUAUCACUUAGCGGCGGACGGGUGAGUAAUGCUUAGGAAUCUGCCUAUUAGUGGGGGACAACAUCUCGAAAGGGAUGCUAAUACCGCAUACGUCCUACGGGAGAAAGCAGGGGAUCACUUGUGACCUUGCGCUAAUAGAUGAGCCUAAGUCGGAUUAGCUAGUUGGUGGGGUAAAGGCCUACCAAGGCGACGAUCUGUAGCGGGUCUGAGAGGAUGAUCCGCCACACUGGGACGGAGACACGGCCCAGACUCCGACGGGAGGCAGCAGUGGGGAAUAUUGGACAAUGGGGGGAACCCUGAUCCAGCCAUGCCGCGUGUGUGAAGAAGGCCUUAUGGUUGUAAAGCACUUUAAGCGAGGAGGAGGCUCUUUUGGUUAAUACCCAAGAUGAGUGGACGUUACUCGCAGAAUAAGCACCGGCUAACUCUGUGCCAGCCGCCGCAGUAA